This 468-nucleotide ribosomal RNA is filed under the name uncultured bacterium. RNAcentral's name for it is "partial 16S ribosomal RNA". It matches the Rfam family "Bacterial small subunit ribosomal RNA", at positions 28 to 507 of the family's 1533-position model. The record is from RNAcentral.
GACGAACGCUGGCGGCGUGCUUAACACAUGCAAGUCGAACGGAAAGGCCCUGCUUGUGUGGGGUGCUCGAGUGGCGAACGGGUGAGUAACACGUGAGUAACCUGCCCUUGACUUUGGGAUAACUUCAGGAAACUGGGGCUAAUACCGGAUAGGAGCUCCUGCUGCAUGGUGGGGGUUGGAAAGUUUCGGCGGUUGGGGAUGGACUCGCGGCUUAUCAGUUUGUUGGUGGGGUAGUGGCUUACCAAGGCUUUGACGGGUAGCCGGCCUGAGAGGGUGACCGGCCACCUUGGGACUGAGAUACGGCGCAGACUGCUACGGGAGGCAGCAGUGGGGAAUAUUGCACAAUGGGCGGAAGCCUGAUGCAGAAACGCUGCGUGCGGGAUGACGGCCUUCGGGUUGUAAAACGCUUUAGCCUGUGACGAAGCGGGAGUGACGGUAAUGGGUAAAGAAGCACCGGCUAACUACGUG